AACGAACGCUGGCGGCAGGCCUAACACAUGCAAGUCGGACGAGAAGGUUCCUUCGGGAACUGGAGAGUGGCGCACGGGUGAGUAACGCGUGGGGACCUACCUCUUAGUGGGGGAUAACGGUUGGAAACGACCGCUAAUACCGCAUACGCCCUUCGGGGGAAAGAUUUAUCGCUAAGAGAUGGACCCGCGUUGGAUUAGAUAGUUGGUGAGGUAAUGGCUCACCAAGUCAGCGAUCCAUAGCUGGUUUGAGAGGAUGAUCAGCCACACUGGGACUGAGACACGGCCCAGACUCCUACGGGAGGCAGCAGGUGGGGGAAUAUUGGACAUGGGGGGCAACCCUGAUCCAGCCAUGCCGCGUGAGUGAAGAAGGCCUCGGGUUGUAAGCGUACUUUCAGAUGCGAAGAUGAUGACGGUAACAUCAGAAG
RNAcentral lists this ribosomal RNA (425 nucleotides) under uncultured bacterium. RNAcentral describes it as "bacterial SSU rRNA". It matches the Rfam family "Bacterial small subunit ribosomal RNA", at positions 29 to 487 of the family's 1533-position model. The record is from RNAcentral.